RNAcentral lists this ribosomal RNA (437 nucleotides) under uncultured Pseudomonas sp. RNAcentral describes it as "bacterial SSU rRNA". It matches the Rfam family "Bacterial small subunit ribosomal RNA", at positions 948 to 1382 of the family's 1533-position model. The record is from RNAcentral. Lineage: Bacteria; Pseudomonadati; Pseudomonadota; Gammaproteobacteria; Pseudomonadales; Pseudomonadaceae.
AAUUCGAAGCAACGCGAAGAACCUUACCAGGCCUUGACAUGCAGAGAACUUUCCAGAGAUGGAUUGGUGCCUUCGGGAACUCUGACACAGGUGCUGCAUGGCUGUCGUCAGCUCGUGUCGUGAGAUGGUUGGGUUAACGUCCCGUAACGAGCGCAACCCUUGUCCUUAGUUACCAGCACGUUAUGGUGGGCACUCUAAGGAGACUGCCGGUGACAAACCGGAGGAAGGUGGGGAUGACGUCAAGUCAUCAUGGCCCUUACGGCCUGGGCUACACACGUGCUACAAUGGUCGGUACAAAGGGUUGCCAAGCCGCGAGGUGGAGCUAAUCCCAUAAAACCGAUCGUAGUCCGGAUCGCAGUCUGCAACUCGACUGCGUGAAGUCGGAAUCGCUAGUAAUCGUGAAUCAGAAUGUCACGGUGAAUACGUUCCCGGGCCUU